Molecule: small RNA, 2288 nt
Filed under: Pongo abelii (Sumatran orangutan)
Lineage: Eukaryota; Metazoa; Chordata; Mammalia; Primates; Hominidae
Description: retained intron
Source: RNAcentral
AAUGUACAAUUAAUGAUUAUCCACAGGCAUGCAGAAGGUAAGUGGUAAUUGUGUUAUUUUUAUUUCACUGAGGAUGGAAUUAGCAAAAGGCUUUAAAAUGACAGGAAAAUUAGCUAAUACAGAAAACAAGCAUAAAAUUCAAAGCUACAGCCUCAUUUGAUUUGGCUUUUUCAGAAAUUAAAAUGUGAACAGCUGCGUAGCAGAAAUGUUUUAAUAUUUUCAGAGUUGAAAGCCACUUUCCAGCAACCACUGAAGAAAGAGUAUCUCAUUAUUUUUACUUAAAGCACUACAGAAAGUGGUGUUCUGAUUUUAUUAAUAUUUCUUAGGCCAGGCAUGGUGGCUUACGCCUGUAAUCCCAGCACUUUGGGAGGCAUAGGCAGGCGGAUCACUUGAGCCCAGGAGUUCGAGACCAUCCUGGACAACAUGGCAAAACCCCGCCUCUACAAAUAAUAUAAAAAUUAGCCGGGCGUGGUGGCACGCAUCUGUGGUCCCGGCUACUCAGGAGGCUGAGGCAGGAGGAUCACCUGAGCCCUGGGAGGCCAAGGCUGCAGUGAGCCAUGAUCAUGCCACUGUGCUCUAGCCUAGGGAAGUGAGACCCCGCCGCAAAAAAGAAAAACAUAUUUUUUGAUGGUGAUAAUCAAGAGACCAAAAAUAUUGCUUUCUUAAUGCACACGAGGCAGGAAAUCUUUCAUGAAGGGCUACGUUGUACCUGUGCCUCUCAAGUCACCAGAAGGCCAAGCUGCAGGUCAAAACUGUGGGAAAAGCACUUUCUUCCUGUUAGCAGUUCCAUUGUAUUAUUAUUUUUUAAUUGAUCUCCCCACUUGUCUGAUUUUCCCUUGGACGGAACAGGUAAUAACUGAAUAUAGAAUCCAGCUGAUAGCCUCACUGGCUUUUAAUUGGAAACCCAUUAUACUGUGUGGCACGGUUAGAAAGUGAGAAUAACCCCAUUCUGAGGCCGAGUGUGCUCAGGCUGAAGAGCCAGCAGGAGUGCCCGCUGUGCGUACGUGGUGUGCAGUGUGUGCAGUGUGCAGCGGUAUGGCGUGCAAUGUGUGUGAUGUGUGCAGUGUGCAGCAUGGAGCUGGCCCCUGUGCACACCCCUGCAGCCUUAUGGAAGAAGGUAGUGCUGGCUCAGUCAAAUGAGAGGAAGAGUUUUCAUAAGCCCAGCUGGUGUUUAAAACGUGUUUUGGCUUUGUUCAUUUUAUGGUGUUGGUGUUGGUAUUGGUGGUCAUGUACUAGCAUGUAAGAUUUCUUUUCUCUUUCCCUCUUCUCUCUGCUUCUACAUUCUGUUCAUUGAGGCUUCCAACUGAAUAUGAGAGGAACGGGAGAUAUGAGGGCUCAAGUCGCAAUGUAUCUGCUGAGCAAAAAGAUGAAAACAAAGAAGCAAAGCCUCGAUCCCUACGCUUCACCUGGAGCAUGAAAACCACUAGUUCAAUGGAUCCCGGGGACAUGAUGCGGGAAAUCCGCAAAGUGUUGGAUGCCAAUAACUGCGACUAUGAGCAGAGGGAGCGUUUCUUGCUCUUCUGUGUCCACGGAGAUGGGCACGCAGAGAACCUCGUGCAGUGGGAAAUGGAAGUAUGCAAGCUGCCAAGACUGUCUCUGAACGGGGUCCGGUUUAAGCGGAUAUCGGGGACAUCCAUAGCCUUCAAAAAUAUUGCUUCCAAAAUUGCCAAUGAGCUAAAGCUGUAACCCAGUAAUUAUGAUGUAAAUUAAGUAGCAAUUAAAGUGUUUUCCUGAACACUGAUGGAAAUGUAUAGAAUAAUAUUUAGGCAAUAACGUCUGCAUCUUCUAAAUCAUGAUAUUAAAGUCUGAGGACGAGAGCACGCCUGGGAGCGAAAGCUGGCCUUUUUUCUACGAAUGCACUACAUUAAAGAUGUGCAGCCUAUGCGCCCCCUGCCCUACUUCCAUUGCCCUGAGAGUCAGUGUGUGGCCCCAUCUCCAUGUGCCUCCCGUCUGGGUGGGUGUGAGAGUGGACAGUGUGUGUGUGAAGUGGUGUAUAUGGAAGCAUCUCCCUACACUGGCAGCCAGUCAUUACUAGUACCUCUGCGGGAGAUCAUCUGGUGCUAAAACAUUACAAUUGCCAAGGAGGAAAAUACUGAAUUACUGCUAAGAAUUAACCUUAAGACUAGUUCAUAGUUAAUAUAGGUUUACAGUUCAUGCCUGUGGUUUUGUGUUUGUUGUUUUGUGUUUUUUUUUAGUGCAAAAGGUUUAAAUUUAUAGUUGUGAACAUUGCUUGUGUGUGUUUUUCUAAGUAGAUUCACAAGAUAAUUAAAAAUUCACUUUUUCUCAGU